RNAcentral lists this long non-coding RNA (271 nucleotides) under Vigna radiata. RNAcentral describes it as "long non-coding RNA (VRAD_LNC006209)". The record is from RNAcentral. Lineage: Eukaryota; Viridiplantae; Streptophyta; Magnoliopsida; Fabales; Fabaceae.
GGAAAUGAAACCACCAAAUGAUACAAUUAUGGCGGAAGUUAAGGAGAUGUAACAAAAGGGAAGAAAUUUCAAGAAUACUAGACAUCCCCUUAAUAUAGUUACAAAUUAUUAUAUUAUAUAUAAAGCACAUAUCAUAGUCACCAACGUCAAUUAGGCUCCAACUUGGACUUCCUAUACCAGUGCUCCUUGAUGUGUUUCCAUUUCCUCGCAUAGGGAGUCCAACUCAAAAACAAUCUCAGCUUUAUUCCACUCAUGCUCUGUAAACAUCCCC